GGAUUUAUUUUUACUGCAUUACUAAAGUUUCUAAUAAAUACAUACGACUAAACCUGAAGGGAAACUAAAGGCAGGAAUGGGGAAAAGUGAGCAUAGAGAGAUUGUGAAAGGCUGAACAAAAGGCAGGUAUUGAGAAAAGUGACCAUAGAGAGAUUGUGAAAGGCUGAACAAAAGGCAGGUAUUGAGAAAAGUGACCAUAGAGAGAUUGAGAAAGACUGAACAAAAGGAAGGUAUUGAGAAAAGUGACCAUAGAGAGAUUGAGAAAGACUGAAAAAAAGGCAGGUAUUGAGAAAAGUGACCAUAGAGAGAUUGUGAAAGGUUGAACAAAAGGAAGGUAUUGAGAAAAUUGACCAUAGAGAGAUUGUGAAAGGCUGAACAAAAGGCAGGUAUUGAGAAAAUUGACCAUAGAGAGAUUGUGAAAGGCUGAACAAAAGGCAGGUAUUGAGAAAAGUGAGCAUAGAGAGAUUGAGAAAGGCUGAACAAAAGGCAGGUAUUGAGAAAAGUGACCAUAGAGAGAUUGAGAAAGACAACAAAAGGCAGGUAUUGAGAAAAGUGACCAUAGAGAGAUUGAGAAAGACAACAAAAGGCAGGUAUUGAGAAAAGUGACCAUAGAGAGAUUGUGAAAGACAACAAAAGGAAGGUAUUGAGAAAAGUGACCAUAGAGAGAUUGUGAAAGACUGAACAAAAGGCAGGUAUUGAGAAAAGUGACCAUAGAGAGAUUGUGAAAGACAACAAAAGGCAGGUAUUGAGAAAAGUGACCAUAGAGAGAUUGUGAAAGGCUGAACAAAAGGAAGGUAUUGAGAAAAGUGACCAUAGAGAGAUUGUGAAAGGCUGAACAAAAGGAAGGUAUUGAGAAAAGUGACCAUAGAGAGAUUGUGAAAGGCUGAACAAAAGGGAGGUAUUGAGAAAAGUGACCAUAGAGAGAUUGUGAAAGGCUGAACAAAAGGAAGGUAUUGAGAAAAGUGACCAUAGAGAGAUAGUGAAAGGCUGAACAAAAGGCAGGUAUUGAGAAAAGUGACCAUAGAGAGAUUGUGAAAGGCUGAACAAAAGGCAGGAAUGGGGAAAAGUGAGCAUAAAGAGAUUGAUAACAUAUGGACGAACAGAAAACAAAACGAGAGAUUUUAAACAGUGACAAAGAAUCAACAAAAAGGAAAUGGAGGAGAGACAGACGACCAACAGGAAAUGGUAAAGACGAAAGUGAAUGACUCAUAAACACAAACAAAACCACCACAUAAGUUAGACUCUGACUCAUAAACACAAACAAAACCACCACAUAAGUUAAAGUAAUACAGAGGAGAGAGUAAUGACACUGACAAAUUA
This is a long non-coding RNA of Eriocheir sinensis (Chinese mitten crab), 1320 nucleotides long. RefSeq lists it as uncharacterized. Lineage: Eukaryota; Metazoa; Arthropoda; Malacostraca; Decapoda; Varunidae. The transcript has 3 exons. The record is from RefSeq and is a predicted model, not a curated record.